CUUUAUUCUAGUCAAGUAGGGAAAAUGCCAAAUUACAGUCAAUAAAAUCUCUACGUUUGUCUUAUACCUUACUUUUUAGGUCAAUAUUGAAUAAACCUCAUUCUAACUUUCAAAAGCAAGGUGGGAAAAUGAACCCUGAUUCUCACUAAUCUUUUUGUUUCUUUCUUAGGAUAGCAUUGCUCACUGGAUCAAAACAAAGCAAAACACCCACAAUGAGUAAUUCAACCUUGUCAUGAUUUUUUCCAAAAACUUGUUUCUUCAUCGGCCCGAGCUCCAACAAGCUAGUCGUAUGAGAUUGGGGAGAAACCUUCAGUGGGCAGUCUGCAGAAUCAGGAAGUCCACUUCCUGGUGGCUCUACAUCUCACCCUGACCACUGCCCUGCAAGGACAGAGUCUACCUUUGCCUGUGAUUCAGUGAAUAUUCACUCUCACACAAGCUUCAUCAAGAAGCCAAAUAGUGCAGGAAAGAAAAUCAAACACCUAUGUUUGCUGCUCCUCAAUAAUCUGUGCUUUGUACUAUCUGCUUUAUAGUAAACUUAAUCAUCACACUAUAAUACAGUA
Mesocricetus auratus (golden hamster) is the source of this 560-nucleotide long non-coding RNA. RefSeq lists it as uncharacterized. The transcript is spliced from 2 exons. The record is from RefSeq and is a predicted model, not a curated record. NCBI's taxonomy places the organism in Eukaryota, Metazoa, Chordata, Mammalia, Rodentia, Cricetidae.